UGAGGAACAUGACCUUCGGCGGGGGAUAGCCGGCCCAACGGCCGGGUAAUACCGCGUACGACCACAUGGGGACAUCCCUGAGUGGUGAAAGCAGCAAUGCGCCGAUGGAGUGCCUCGCGGCCUAUCAGCUAGUUGGUGAGGUAACGGCUCACCAAGGCGACGACGGGUAGCUGGUCUGAGAGGAUGGCCAGCCCACUAGUUGGGGACUGAGACACGGCCAGCUCCGUAGG
Molecule: ribosomal RNA, 230 nt
Filed under: uncultured bacterium
Lineage: Bacteria
Description: partial 16S ribosomal RNA
Rfam family: Bacterial small subunit ribosomal RNA
Source: RNAcentral